RNAcentral lists this long non-coding RNA (694 nucleotides) under Homo sapiens (human). RNAcentral's name for it is "non-protein coding lnc-SNRPN-8:122". Lineage: Eukaryota; Metazoa; Chordata; Mammalia; Primates; Hominidae. The record is from RNAcentral.
GCAUGGAAGGAAGGACUGUGUCUGUGAGGGAUGAUCAUCCUCUCAUGUGAUCCUUGGAGAUGCCAGGAAGCCCCUUGACACAUGUGGCAUGGGCUCCUUCAGAGGCUUUUGGAUCCGUCGUGAAUGUGGCAUGGGCAUGCAAAGAAAGACAGAGGCUGCAAGGGAUAAACUUCAUCUUGGGAGAUCCCUGGAGAUGGCAGGGAACCCAUGGACACAUGUGGCAUGGGCUCCUUUGGGUGCCGGUGGAUCCCUUCAUACGGUAAAGCCAGAGUUGGGUAUCAACCAGAUACACUGCAGGGGAUCAGAGGACAUGGCCUUUGUGUACUGCACAUCUGUCAGAUUUUCUCAAGCACACCCGUGUUUCCUCUUCACCUCCCACGUGGAAGUGAUGAAUUGGCCAGGACCAUGUUGGUGAGGGACAAUCAUCAUCUCAUGUUAACCUCAGAGAAGCCAGGAAGCUCCUGGACACACAUGGUGUAGGCUUCCUUGGAGGCUGUUGGAUCUCUCCUGAAUGUGGUGUGGGCAUGGAAGGAAGGCCAGUGGAGACAAUGGAUGAUCUUGUUCUUAGCAGAUCACUGGAUGUGGCAGGGAGUCCUAGGACAUGUGUGGUGUGGGCUUCUUCAGGUGCUGGUGGUGUUGGCAUGAGGAAAGGAGGUAUCUUCGAGGGACAAUCUUCUUCUUGUGCGAUCCUUGG